This 1664-nucleotide long non-coding RNA is filed under the name Oryza sativa (Asian cultivated rice). RNAcentral describes it as "long non-coding RNA (OSAT_LNC000979)". Lineage: Eukaryota; Viridiplantae; Streptophyta; Magnoliopsida; Poales; Poaceae. The record is from RNAcentral.
UGGCUGAGCUGUGGUACGCUCGCCAUGGCGUCCUCGACGGGGGGGUUGGACCACGGGUUCACGUUCACGCCGCCGCCGUUCAUCACGUCGUUCACCGAGCUGCUGUCGGGGGGCGGUGGGGACCUGCUCGGCGCCGGCGGUGAGGAGCGCUCGCCGAGGGGGUUCUCCAGAGGCGGAGCGAGGGUGGGCGGCGGGGUGCCCAAGUUCAAGUCCGCGCAGCCGCCGAGCCUGCCGCUCUCGCCGCCGCCGGUGUCGCCGUCGUCCUACUUCGCCAUCCCGCCGGGGCUCAGCCCCACCGAGCUGCUCGACUCCCCCGUCCUCCUCAGCUCCUCCCAUGUGCGUUCCGCGUGACACACCUUCAUCUUCUUCUUCUACCUUUAGUGCGCAAUUGCUGUGUAGUGUGGUGCUGAUGAUGAUCCAUGGCGUUUGUGCGUGUUUGUGCUUUUCAGAUCUUGGCGUCCCCGACCACCGGUGCAAUCCCGGCUCAGAGGUACGACUGGAAGGCCAGCGCCGAUCUCAUCGCUUCUCAGCAAGAUGACAGCCGCGGCGACUUCUCCUUCCACACCAACUCCGACGCCAUGGCCGCGCAACCGGCCUCUUUCCCUUCCUUCAAGGUACGUACAAAUGCUUCAGCUCAUCUAGCUCAACCCAAGCUGAAUAAACUGUUGACAGUCUAGCUCACCUUGGUUCAUGUACGCUUGUGCUGGAGCAGGAGCAAGAGCAGCAAGUGGUCGAGUCGAGCAAGAACGGCGCCGCCGCCGCGUCGAGCAACAAGAGCGGCGGCGGCGGGAACAACAAGCUGGAGGACGGGUACAACUGGAGGAAGUACGGGCAGAAGCAGGUGAAGGGGAGCGAGAACCCGAGGAGCUACUACAAGUGCACCUACAACGGCUGCUCCAUGAAGAAGAAGGUGGAGCGCUCGCUCGCCGACGGCCGCAUCACCCAGAUCGUCUACAAGGGCGCACACAACCACCCCAAGCCGCUCUCCACCCGCCGCAACGCCUCCUCCUGCGCCACCGCCGCCGCCUGCGCCGACGACCUCGCGGCGCCCGGCGCGGGCGCGGACCAGUACUCCGCCGCGACGCCCGAGAACUCCUCCGUCACGUUCGGCGACGACGAGGCCGACAACGCAUCGCACCGCAGCGAGGGCGACGAGCCCGAAGCCAAGCGCUGGUAAGCCUCACAUCAUCACUCAAAUCAGCAAUCGAAGCGUAAUAUCUCCAUGCGUGUGCGUGUGUUCUUCUUGGGUCUCAUGGAUGUCAUGGUUUUCAGGAAGGAGGAUGCUGACAACGAGGGCAGCUCCGGCGGCAUGGGCGGCGGCGCCGGCGGCAAGCCGGUGCGCGAGCCGAGGCUUGUGGUGCAGACGCUGAGCGACAUCGACAUCCUCGACGACGGCUUCCGGUGGAGGAAGUACGGCCAGAAGGUCGUCAAGGGCAACCCCAACCCAAGGUAAUCAAUCAAUCAAGCUGAUCAAAAUCCGUCGAUUAGUCGAUUAAUCAUAUCUGUUCUUGCGUCUCUAAUAAUCAAAUCUGUUCUUGAAUCGCAGGAGCUACUACAAGUGCACGACGGUGGGCUGCCCGGUGCGGAAGCACGUGGAGCGGGCGUCGCACGACACGCGCGCCGUGAUCACCACCUACGAGGGCAAGCACAACCACGACGUCCCG